Molecule: long non-coding RNA, 1646 nt
Filed under: Sus scrofa (pig)
Lineage: Eukaryota; Metazoa; Chordata; Mammalia; Artiodactyla; Suidae
Description: lncRNA (ENSSSCG00000051290.2)
Source: RNAcentral
CAGCAGGACCCCCCGCCUGGGGCCGCGGACCGGGCGCGGUCGGGCUCGGCGGGCCGUGGCUUCUUGACAGGAGGAGGGGGACAAGCGCCUCCUCCUCCAUUGCCGAACCGAGCCCUCUUUUAUCGCAAUUUUCCCGGCCCGCUGACAGCCGUCUUCCAGUGACAAGAAACUUAAGGUCGGCGAAAAAUUGAGGACCCGGAGCAGCGGGUGCCUCUGGUCCGACGUACGACCGUGCCGUGCCCUCCGCGGGACCCAGCCGUGUAUGUUGUCGUCUUUGAUGCUAAAGCGUGAGAUGCCCUGGGAAUGUUAAUAGCAAUAAAAUGAAGAUCAUAAUAAAACAAGCCCCCUACUUAGCCCUGUGGUUCUUAUCUAUCUUACCUACUUGAUGAAGAUGUCUUUUGAACAGUGUACUGCCAAGAUAUGAAAUGCUGUUCAUUUCAUGAAAAAGUAAAUUAUGCUUUUUACCAAGCAUGGAGCGGCCUGAUGUAGGAUCUCACUUCCCAGUCCAGGGAUUGAACCUAGGCCACAGCCAUGAAAGCACCAAGUCCUAACCUCUAGGCCACCAGGGAACUCCCUCUUUAAUGUGAAUCUUAAUAUGGCCAUUUAUUUUACAUAUUAAGUUUUCAUUUUUUCCACCUUCUUUGGAAAAAAUUGCUAAUCUUUUCAUUCAGGUUUAAAUUGAUGCCAGGUAAUUCCAGUAUUGAGCAUCUUAAAUCUCUUACUUGGAAUAUGGAUUGAGUUUGGCGCUAACUCAGAGGACUACAGGUGGAUAUUACUAUCCCUUAUUCAUGGAAAAAGUUUUAUUCUAAGUGUUGUGUCUCAUUGAGUAUUAGCAAAAAGGAGAAAUAUUAAUGCUUUUGAGAUAGAUUUGGCUCUAGUAAGUACUGAGAUGUAUUAUUUGCAUAUCUGGGAGAAGAAAUGAGAGACCAUCAUCAGUACAUUUCCAGCUAAAAUUCUAUAUUUUCUUGCAUCUCAUGAAGGGAUUCCUUAUAAUUUCUGUUUUAUUACUAAUAGCUUGAACCCCUUUAAUGGAGAAUUAAUUUCUCCACCAGAGUUUAAAAAUUUAUGUUCUUACCUUGUUUAUUUAUAAAAUAUAUCCCACAGAUUUCUGAUGUCUAUUUUUUAGGCUAUAUACAAGUAAGAAAUGUUGGCAAAAUAAAUAAGUUUAAACCUUUUAUAUUAAAAUUACUAUGCAGAGUGACAAGUUAGUUGCUGUUUUUUGUCUUUAUUAUACUGAAAUUAAAUUCAACAUUUGUAAUUUCUAUUUGGGUCUAUUUCUUGAUUAUUAAUACAUAGGAUUCAUGCAAAGCUUCAUGAAUAACACAUUUAGAUUAGCAUAUUAAUGAAUGCAGGUCCCCCUUAAUUCUGUGGGACUUUGAAUAAUCUGAUAUUUGUUAUUUCUUAUGAUUGGACUUUGGUGUUUUGAAAAAAAUGUAAACUUCCUAGAGAAUCUUGUUAUUGUUUAUCUUAUGCUGUAGGGUUAGAUUUUGCUUGAGAAAUUUGCUGAGAAAAAAAUUUUUAAGCCACUUUUACACUAAAUGUUCCUCAAUAUGAUUAACCUGUUAUUAAAGCUAUUCCAUAUAUCUUUAUUUUAUAAUUUAAGUUUAUCAUGGAUUAUUCUAUUAAAGAAUAUCUUUAGAAAGUGG